This 438-nucleotide long non-coding RNA is filed under the name Nicotiana benthamiana. RNAcentral's name for it is "long non-coding RNA (NBEN_LNC022864)". Lineage: Eukaryota; Viridiplantae; Streptophyta; Magnoliopsida; Solanales; Solanaceae. The record is from RNAcentral.
GGAGGUAAAGUUUUGAAAGGAACUCUAAGGAGACACUUAAGAGCUUAGAGAAAACACAGAUCUACAACGGAUCUAAAAUAAUCAGAAGAACCUCAAAGGUUAGAGUUUCAGAAGAACCCAGGUGGUGUGAAGGCUUGGAAAGUCUUUUAUCUGAGCCGGAGAAGUCGAUAUGGGGCUUGAACAGCCAUGGAUGGCCAGAGCAAGGUCAAAGACAACUGUAAAACUCGAAUGAAACAAAGUAUGGGCCAAGUUUCUUAAGGUGUGACCUUGAGACCAUAGUAAUUAUGCGUGUAGGAGUCGUAGGAAGCAAGUACAUGCUCUUAAUGGUUUUGGAAGCCAUGGAUACGAGCAACUUUAGGGUGGAGGUGGAAGGAGGCGACUAGGGUUUUUGAGGAAGCUUGAGAGAGAAUUUGGGAGAAGGGGGAAUUCAAGGGUGGC